CGUGCCUAACACAUGCAAGUUGAGCGCUAGAGGGGGCAACCCCAAUAGAGCAGCGAACGGGUGAGUAACGCGUGGGUGAUCUUCCUUCGAGUGGGGAACAACAUCGGGAAACUGGUGCUAAUUCCGCAUAAUACCCUGGGGCUACGGGCCUCAGGAUCAAAGCCGGGGACCGUAAGGCCUGGCGCUUGAAGAUGAGCCCGCGUCCGAUUAGCUAGUUGGCGGGGUAAUGGCCCACCAAGGCUCCGAUCGGUAGCCGGCCUGAGAGGGCGGACGGCCACACUGGAACUGAGACACGGUCCAGACUCCUACGGGAGGCAGCAGUGGGGAAUUUUUCGCAAUGGGCGCAAGCCUGACGAAGCAACGCCGCGUGGAGGAUGAAGGUCUUCGGAUUGUAAACUCCUGUCGACCGGGACGAAUGCACUCGACCUAAUACGUCGGAAUGUUGACGGUACCGGUGGAGGAAGCCACGGCUAACUCUGUGCCAGCAGCCGCGGUAAUACAGAGGUGGCAAGCGUUGUUCGGAAUUACUGGGCGUAAAGGGCGCGUAGGCGGCCUUGUAAGUCUCGUGUGAAAGCCCUCGGCUUAACUGAGGAUCUGCACGGGAUACUGCAAGGCUUGAGUUCGGGAGAGGAAAGCGGAAUUCCGGGUGUAGCGGUGAAAUGCGUAGAUAUCCGGAGGAACACCAGUGGCGAAGGCGGCUUUCUGGACCGACACUGACGCUGAUGCGCGAAAGCUAG
RNAcentral lists this ribosomal RNA (737 nucleotides) under uncultured soil bacterium. Its description in RNAcentral is "bacterial SSU rRNA". It matches the Rfam family "Bacterial small subunit ribosomal RNA", at positions 43 to 763 of the family's 1533-position model. The record is from RNAcentral.